RNAcentral lists this ribosomal RNA (430 nucleotides) under Pseudomonadota bacterium. RNAcentral describes it as "Proteobacteria bacterium partial 16S ribosomal RNA". It matches the Rfam family "Bacterial small subunit ribosomal RNA", at positions 355 to 776 of the family's 1533-position model. The record is from RNAcentral. Lineage: Bacteria; Pseudomonadati; Pseudomonadota.
UGGGGAAUAUUGGACAAUGGGGGGAACCCUGAUCCAGCCAUGCCGCGUGUGUGAAGAAGGCCUUAUGGUUGUAAAGCACUUUAAGCGAGGAGGAGGGUACUGGUAUUAAUACUACCAGGUACUGGACGUUACUCGCAGAAUAAGCACCGGCUAACUCUGUGCCAGCAGCCGCGGUAAUACAGAGGGUGCGAGCGUUAAUCGGAUUUACUGGGCGUAAAGCGUGCGUAGGCGGCUAAUUGAGUCGGAUGUGAAAUCCCCGAGCUUAACUUGGGAAUUGCAUUCGAUACUGGUUAGCUAGAGUGUGGGGGAGGAUGGUAGAAUUCCAGGUGUAGCGGUGAAAUGCGUAGAGAUCUGGAGGAAUACCGAUGGCGGAGGCAGCCAUCUGGCCUAACACUGACGCUGAGGUACGAAAGCAUGGGGAGCAAACAGG